Molecule: ribosomal RNA, 490 nt
Filed under: uncultured bacterium
Lineage: Bacteria
Description: partial 16S ribosomal RNA
Rfam family: Bacterial small subunit ribosomal RNA
Source: RNAcentral
AUUGAACGCUGGCGGCAGGCCCAACACAUGCAAGCCGAACGGUAACAGGAAGAAGCUUGCUUCUUUGCUGACGAGUGGCGGACGGGUGAGUAAUGUCUGGGAAACUGCCUGAUGGAGGGGGAUAACUACUGGAAACGGUAGCUAAUACCGCAUAACGUCGCAAGACCAAAAAGGGGGACCUUCGGGCCUCUUGCCAUCGGAUGUGCCCAGAUGGGAUUAGCUAGUAGGUGGGGUAACGGCUCACCUAGGCGACGAUCCCUAGCUGGUCUGAGAGGAUGACCAGCCACAAUGGAACUGGGACACGGUCCAGACUCCUACGGGAGGCAGCAGUGGGGAAUAUUGCACAAUGGGCGCAAGCCAGAUGCAGCCAUGCCGCGUGUAUGAAGAAGGCCUUCGGGUUGUAAAGUACUUUCAGCGGGGAGGAAGGGAGUAAAGUUAAUACCUUUGCUCAUUGACGUUGCCCGCAGAAGAAGCACCGGGUAACUCCGUG